Molecule: ribosomal RNA, 253 nt
Filed under: uncultured bacterium
Lineage: Bacteria
Description: partial 16S ribosomal RNA
Rfam family: Bacterial small subunit ribosomal RNA
Source: RNAcentral
UACGAAGGGGGCUAGCGUUGCUCGGAAUCACUGGGCGUAAAGCGCACGUAGGCGGCUUUCUAAGUCAGGGGUGAAAUCCUGGAGCUCAACUCCAGAACUGCCUUUGAUACUGGAGAGCUUGAGACCAGGAGAGGUGAGUGGAAUUCCCAGUGUAGCGGUGAAAUGCGUAGAUAUUGGGAGGAACACCAGUGGCGAAGGCGGCUCACUGGACUGGUACUGACGCUGAUGCGCGAAAGCGUGGGGAGCAAACAGG